Non-coding RNA from Myodes glareolus (Bank vole), 585 nucleotides. Lineage: Eukaryota; Metazoa; Chordata; Mammalia; Rodentia; Cricetidae. The record is from RefSeq and is a predicted model, not a curated record.
CCAACAUGCAGCUCCCAUUUUAUCUCUAUCUCCAUGAAUAGUCUAAGUACCUCACAAAAGUGAGAUAAUCUAGUUCUUCCUUUGUUAUACAUCUGCCUUAUUCAGCUUAGCAUAGUGUCCUCCACGUUCAUUUAGAUGGUAAUAUGUAUCGGAAUUACUCUCCUCUAUAAAGUUACACAGUCUUCCAAGGAUACAGUUGCAUACAUGGAUGCCUCAGGUCAUUCCACCUUUUCUGUUGUGAAGAGGGCUGGAUCAGAAUUCACGACAUUCUUUUUGACUCCUUCAACAAACCAGACUGUGCUGACAAGUGCUGUUGUGGAUUGAAUUGUAUCCUCCAAAACACCGGGUGUUCUUGUCUCACUCCUGUCUUCAUUUAUGAAUGGGAUCUUUUAAGAAACAACUCCUCGAUCUACUCGUGACAAACGGAAAAGGAAAAUAUUCCAUCCAGCAUGGACCUUAAUAUACCUACAUGUGGUAGCUGUCAGCUGUGUGUGAACCUGUCCAGCAAAGAGCAGCCCUUGUACUGCAAAUGUUGGUUAUGCAGCAUCUGUGUAGAAUGUCUGAGCAACACUCCUGUUGAUUACA